This 229-nucleotide long non-coding RNA is filed under the name Helianthus annuus (common sunflower). RNAcentral's name for it is "hypothetical non coding rna". Lineage: Eukaryota; Viridiplantae; Streptophyta; Magnoliopsida; Asterales; Asteraceae. The record is from RNAcentral.
UCACCAUCCCUUUGUGUAGUAUGUGUACAAGUCAUGAUGCAGCAAUUUGUGUAAGGAAUGCUGCAAAUUUAUUCUGACCACGCGGAAGAUCUAGGUCAAGAUUUUGUUGAUGAACAGAAGAACCAGCAUUAACGUCGAUAAUUCAAGCAUGAAUCUGGGGGUUGUAGCGUAUUCGGUUAAACGAAUCCACCUAAUACAAGUAUUAGCUAUAAGGAGAAUGGGCAGGUAA